AUGGGAACUGUGUUUAGCUGUGGUGUAUAUGCCAAAAAAAAUACCUUAGGCUUUACUGGCCUCUGUAAGUACAAUGUGCUCUUAAUCUACUCUCUUACUAGGUUGAUAGUAGCAGAACUAGUCACAACAAUAACUAGCCUCUAUAAAUGCUUGCUGUGUACCAACUCAUUUAAUCCUCACAUCACCCCCAUUUUACCAAGCAGAAAACUGAGGCACAGAGAAGUUACGUAUCUUGUUCAAGGUCACACAGUUGAACCUAGCAGUGGGCUUGAAAGCCUGCCCUUUUAACCACUAUGCUAUGAGCAUCUCAUGGAAAGGAAUGUUGUAGAAUGACACAUCCUAUGUUUUUAUUAAACAUGAGUGUUUAAAAGCAGAUUGCCUGGAUUCAAAUCUUUGACUAGUUAUAUGAUGUGAGGCAACUUACUCAAUCUUUCUGUGACAGUUUUCUCAUCUGGAAAAUGGGAACCAUCAUAAUACCUCUCUCAAAGUAAUAUGGGCAGGAUUAGGUGUAAAACUCUUAGAAGACCACCUGGUUCAACAUGGUCAACAUUUAGUAAGUGUCUUCUUUUCAUUUGUGAAGGUCAAGUAUCCCAGGUUGAUUCUCUUAAACUUGAUCCAUGUACUUUUCUGUGGUAUUGAUGCACCACUCAGUUCACUCUGCCAGAAUAUAUGUAUGUUGUCACCAGAUAGCCCAGGGAACAAAUAGCCCUUCUCACAAUCCAAAAGAUUACAGUUGCCAGGGUCUCCCUUCCUUUAUCAGAGCUCUUAAUCAAAAUGCUAUGUGUGCAUGUGUGUAUGUGUCUGUGUAUGUGUGUGUGUGUUUGUAACUCUAGGGAGGGAAUAAUGCUUGGGUUUAAUAAAGUAUUGAUUAUAACUUAGUAUACUUGUAAAAUCAAAGAGCAAAAGUCAAAAGCAUUUUAAAAUGAGCUCAGAAAUAAAAUGGAAGUAUACUAUCAACAUCACUAAAUACAAAAUCAAACUCUCACAACUUAUAAAUUGGAACAUUUGAUAAUUUGUAAAAGUGCUUAGCACUGGCAUACACAGCCAAUUACGAUACCUGCAUACAUUCUCUGGACUUGACUAUGUGUUUCUGACUGUGAUGUUAAUGGCUUCUCCGAAGAGGUUAAAAGCAUAUUGAAAGCAGCAAUCGAUGCAACUGUAUUUAUAUGUAAUAAUUUGCUCAAAUAUUAGAAUACACCUUAAACAGAAGCACACUCCUCAGACUACAAGAUAAAAGACACAUCACAUUGAUAAAUAUUGCUGGUUGUCUUUGAUUUUAACCUAAUGACAAUGAUUUUUUUUUUAGUAUAGCACAUGUACAGAUUGUAUUAUUAAUAAUAUUCCAAUGCUAAAUUCUGGUAAAUCAAAAUGUAUUCAUAAAAAUCCUUACAGAAAUUUGAGCAAAAUUUUCAGAAAUUCUUAGCCUAAAUUACCACUUAUUUAAGCUGGCCACAUUUUUAUUUCAGUGAUUUUUGGCCACGUUGAAGUCAUGACCGGUUUCCCUGGGAAGUCAACAGAAGUUUGGCAGGUGCGUGAGCUCCGCAGGGCAGAGAGCAAGAGGAGAGGUGAGCUCAGAAGGUAAUCGUAAAAUUUGGACACCUCUCUGCAGCUUUAAUGACUCAAACCUAAAAUAGUACUCAGGGAAAGACAGAGUUUGGAAGAAUUUUGAAUUGGGAGUUGGCUAUUUUGGUUGUUUUCUUCUGAUCUGGAAACACUGGGGGAGGGGUGGUUCUUCUACUGAAGUAAACAGGAAUUGUACACAAAGCAGGACUCACAUAAGAGUGAGGGGAUGUCCUACCAAUGCCCACGAUGACCCACUAACAUCCAGAUUUCUACAGUGGAGUUCCCUGGCCUUUACAUAGCAGUGGGCAAGUCCAUGAGAAACAAUGUGGCAGGUGGACUAAGGAAAAAUGGAAGCAUGAUGUGGAUUUUCUUUUCUUUGCAUCUCUUUGUUUUGAUCAUACUGCUCUUUAUCAAAAUGCCUUUCUUCAAUUUCCUCAGCCCAGCAGUUUGAAUAUUUGCAUGAAGUAGGCACAUAUCACUACAUAUGAGCCAUGAAAUGUAUUUGAAA
This 2071-nucleotide long non-coding RNA is filed under the name Pan troglodytes (chimpanzee). RNAcentral describes it as "lncRNA (ENSPTRG00000053936.1)". The record is from RNAcentral. Lineage: Eukaryota; Metazoa; Chordata; Mammalia; Primates; Hominidae.